UGGGGAAUAUUGGACAAUGGGCGCAAGCCUGAUCCAGCAAUGCCGCGUGUGUGAAGAAGGCCUUAGGGUUGUAAAGCACUUUCAGUGGGGAGGAAGGCAUGAGUGUUAAUACCAUUCAUGAUUGACGUUACCCACAGAAGAAGCACCGGCUAACUCUGUGCCAGCAGCCGCGGUAAUACAGAGGGUGCUAGCGUUAAUCGGAAUUACUGGGCGUAAAGGGUGUGUAGGUGGCUAAAUAAGUUAGAUGUGAAAGGCCUGGGCUUAACCUGGGAAUUGCGUUUAAAACUGUUUAGCUAGAGUAUUGCAGAGGGUAGUAGAAUUUCCAGUGUAGCGGUGAAAUGCGUAGAUAUUGGAAGGAAUACCAGUGGCGAAGGCGACUAUCUGGGCAAAUACUGACACUGAGACACGAAAGCGUGGGGAGCAAACAG
This 428-nucleotide ribosomal RNA is filed under the name uncultured bacterium. RNAcentral's name for it is "bacterial SSU rRNA". It matches the Rfam family "Bacterial small subunit ribosomal RNA", at positions 355 to 775 of the family's 1533-position model. The record is from RNAcentral.